ACUUUCCUUGUCAUGGGGUUGAGGACUGUUUAAUGAACCCAUAGUGAAAACAGGCCUGCGGACACCACAUCAACACCAUCGCACCACCUGAUUUCUUCAGGUCAGUAAAAGGUGCAAUUUUUGGAAAU
Molecule: small nuclear RNA, 128 nt
Organism: Danio aesculapii
Lineage: Eukaryota; Metazoa; Chordata; Actinopteri; Cypriniformes; Danionidae
Product: U4atac minor spliceosomal RNA
Exons: 1
Source: RefSeq, a predicted model, not a curated record